Triticum urartu is the source of this 2477-nucleotide long non-coding RNA. RefSeq lists it as uncharacterized. NCBI's taxonomy places the organism in Eukaryota, Viridiplantae, Streptophyta, Magnoliopsida, Poales, Poaceae. The record is from RefSeq and is a predicted model, not a curated record.
CUAGCACUCCCGGAUCUCAAAAAAAAAAACUCCCUAGCACUCCCUCCCUGCGUCGCCGCCCAUCGAUCUACCACCUACUACGGAUCAGUCGGCCACCACAACCUCCCUUCCCAGUUGGCCGCCACAGCGCCACCACCCCCUCCCCCGGCAGCCAUGCACAUCGGGAGGCGACCACAUGCUUGGUGGGUCUCGGCCUCCCUCCUCUCAUCGUCCAAGGCCAGGAGCUCCCUUCCCUGACCGAUCUGACGGAGAGAGGGCUAGGCCUUGCCACUCAGAUGGUCGAUGUGGCCAGAUCCGGCCGGGGGAGCCGACACCUCGGCGGCACAGCAUCAACCCGACAGAAGGUGGGUGCUCGAGCUCAUCCAGCAGCUCGUCAUCGACCAGGAGGCCUCUGCCUCGACUGCAACCGUCCAUGGAUCUCUAUUGCAAGCACCUUGUAUCUAUUGAUGUUCUUCCGCCCAUCUAAAAUCCACAUGUUUUUACGGGACCUAAAUUCCACAUGUUAUAUGAGUGGUACAGAUGCAUGGAUUGGCGAUAUUAUUUUGGCUUGGAUUCAAAUUGGCAAUCUGGCGAUAUGAGUAUUUGUACAAACCGCCGAGGACCUCAAAUUCACAUGUUUCAGGCCUGAUGAGUAUCAAAUGUCAUGAGAAAUUCAAGAAUUGCAUGGGAAGGGUAAAGGCGACUAGCAGAUUGGGUUCUCCAAGGAACGCCAAUAUGAACUCACUUUUUGCAACACACAUGCUCAGCCAAUUGGGCAGCCAGUUGGGAGGUAGACAAUACAUUUUUCCUCUUUCACAAAUAAAAUAUUUUGAUACUCAAGAUUGGAUAUUAAGGCAUUAUUUUAAAUCAAUUUAUUGAUCCAAGGUCAUGGAAAGAACUAUUUUUUUCUCUUGUUGCAACACACAGGCUCAAAGGUACAGGUGCGCGAACCCCUACUUAUAUAUAGGCAUUUUCACGUGUGUGUUGGAGCUUUGUCUGAUCGUAUAUGCUGAUUAGUGCAUGGGUCCUGUUGAUUGAGAAUGCUUCGAUGGAUAGGGGAUUCCAUGAAAGAGUUGGUGUGGAUUAAUAUCCUUCAGAUUUUUGCGUGGCGUGGCCCUGACAUUUAUCAGGGACUAGAAUAUAUCUGAAUUGUGUGUAGCGAUUGUCCAUCUACUUAGUUAUUGUAGGCAUUCUGUUUCACAUAAAUAUAGAUAUAUUUGAAUCAUGAGUAACUACAUGUCCACUCUUCGUCCAAAGUUUUUGCUUAUGCAAUAUGAUUGGACUAUUUAGUUCGCAUCCUUCUCCCUUUGCAGAUUAUAAUGCAUUUUGAAAUUGUUCAUGUGCUUCAUUUUUGCACUCUUGCUACUCUCUGGAGAAAUUAUUUGCUCUACCUAAAGCAUGGCUCCUAUGUUGGUAUUCAUGGCCAAUCUAGCUAUCUUAUGUUUAGUAAAUUGUUUGCACUAAUGUACAGAGCCUUCUAAUUUUUUUGAUCCGUCCCAGUAUCCUGACCCAUUGUUUGCAUUUUACUUACACAUGCUCUAGAAAUUACACAGUAUGUAGCACAAGAUUAUACUGCUGAAUUGUUGAUGAUAUUAGUGGGCUCAAUCUUGUGGUGUCCUUACUCUGAAAACAACAUCCGACAUCGAUGAUUAUUGUUACCCCUACAGAUGGUUAGAUUUUGAAGGCUCUGUACUCGAAAUCAUAUGGGAAUUUCAUGUUGUUGCAUCCAGGUGCUGGAAUUCCUCACAUUGGAGUGAAAACAAUUAUGUCUAUGCAUGUAGCAGCAAGGGGAUGAGGCAGGGGAGGGAUGCCGUUAUUGCAUACAAGACAUGACUUCCACUACAAGAAACACUUAAGAAGAAUGAGCGCCUUUUAGGCCCAGGUCAUAUUCAAACAACAAUUUGCUAUCAUGCUCUCGCCAUUGCAUUCAGCUGUAUGAGUGCAUACAAGCUUUCAAUUCAGCAUGAAACACAGACACAUGAUAUACUGGUAAAUAGUUAGGGUCUGAUGAUUCAUGAACAAAAGAUUCAUAAAAUUGGUUGAAUCAUUUAAGGAGCGAGAACAACAAGUAUGUGAUGAAAAAUUAUUUCCCAUGGUUGUUUCACUCUUGGUUCAGGGAUUCUUGCACAUUAUCAAAGUAGCAACUUGUCAAGGUCAUUGCCAAAUGCCAACCAAUGUGCCGGCAUGGGACCGGGGAAAGGGAAAGACCAUGGAGGUGCAAGUCUGAGAUGAAGAUAUGGCGACACAUAAUUGAGCUAGAGGCAACAACACUCAGGCCAACAGAGGAAGGAGAUGGAAGGAGGAAGAAAAAGUCAUGGCCGUGGGGAUAAGAAUGAGUGGCUCACACCAUUAGUACUAGGGAUAAGGUUGGUAAAAAAGAAAGGAAACAUCGGCAUUGUGUGAGCCAACAUGAAACGAGCGCGGUGUGAUUGGGGUUGGCCGUUUUGAAUCGUUUUCCAUUCAACUACUGGUUGCUCGGUUUCAGCAAAAAAAAUUGA